UACGAAGGGGGCUAGCGUUGCUCGGAAUUACUGGGCGUAAAGGGUGCGUAGGUGGCUUGUUAAGUCAGGGGUGAAAGUUUUCGGCCCAACCGGAAAAUGGCCUUUGAUACUGGCGAGCUCGAGUGCGUGAGGGGUAACCGGAACGAGCAGUGUAGCGGUGAAAUGCGUAGAUAUUGCUCGGAAGGCCAACGGCGAAGGCAGGUUACUGGUGCGCAACUGACACUGAGGCACGAAAGCGUGGGGAGCAAACAGG
RNAcentral lists this ribosomal RNA (253 nucleotides) under uncultured bacterium. RNAcentral describes it as "partial 16S ribosomal RNA". It matches the Rfam family "Bacterial small subunit ribosomal RNA", at positions 524 to 776 of the family's 1533-position model. The record is from RNAcentral.